GAUGAACGCUGGCGGCGUGCCUAAUACAUGCAAGUCGAGCGAACAGAUAAGGAGCUUGCUCCUUUGACGUUAGCGUCGGACGGGUGAGUAACACGUGGGUAACCUACCUAUAAGACUGGGAUAACUUCGGGAAACCGGAGCUAAUACCUGAUAACAUUUGGAACCGCAUGGUUCUAAAGUGAAAGAUGGUUUUGCUAUCACUUAUAGAUGGACCCGCGCCGUAUUAGCUAGUUGGUAAGGUAACGGCUUACCAAGGCGACGAUACGUAGCCGACCUGAGAGGGUGAUCGGCCACACUGGAACUGAGACACGGUCCAGACUCCUACGGGAGGCAGCAGUAGGGAAUCUUCCGCAAUGGGCGAAAGCCUGACGGAGAAACGCCGCGUGAGUGAUGAAGGGUUUCGGCUCGUAAAACUCUGUUAUUAGGGAAGAACAAAUGUGUAAGUAACUGUGCACGUCUUGACGGUACCUAAUCAGAAAGCCACGGCUAACUACGUG
Molecule: ribosomal RNA, 497 nt
Filed under: uncultured bacterium
Lineage: Bacteria
Description: partial 16S ribosomal RNA
Rfam family: Bacterial small subunit ribosomal RNA
Source: RNAcentral